UACGUAGGGGGCAAGCGUUGUCCGGAUUUAUUGGGCGUAAAGAGCGUGUAGGCGGCCGAGCAGGUCCGCUGUGAAAACUCGAGGCUCAACCUCGAGACGUCGGUGGAAACCGUUUGGCUAGAGUCCGGAAGAGGAGAGUGGAAUUCCCGGUGUAGCGGUGAAAUGCGCAGAUAUCGGGAAGAACACCCGUGGCGAAGGCGGCUCUCUGGGACGGUACUGACGCUGAGACGCGAAAGCGUGGGGAGCGAACAGG
Molecule: ribosomal RNA, 253 nt
Filed under: uncultured bacterium
Lineage: Bacteria
Description: partial 16S ribosomal RNA
Rfam family: Bacterial small subunit ribosomal RNA
Source: RNAcentral